CCUACGGGAGGCAGCAGUAGAGAAUCUUCGGCAAUGGGGGAAACCCUGACCGAGCGAUACCGCGUGAGUGAUGAAAUACUUCGGUAUGUAAAACUCUUUUAUUAAAGAAGAAUGAUAUAAAUAGGCAAUGAUUUAUAAGUGACGUUAUUUAAUGAAUAAGUCCCGGCUAACUAUGUGCCAGCAGCCGCGGUAAUACAUAGGGGACGAGCGUUAUCCGGAAUAAUUGGGCGUAAAGGGUGCGUAGGCGGUGUGUUAAGUUCAAGGUUUAAUCGUAGGGCUCAACCCUAUAUCGCUUUGAAAACUGGCACAAUAGAGUAAGAUAGAGGCAAGUGGAAUUCCAUGUGUAGCGGUAAAAUGCGUAAAUAUAUGGCAGAACACCAGAGGCGAAGGCGGCUUGCUGGGUCUUCACUGACGCUGAGGCACGAAAGCGUGGGGAGCAAACAGGAUUAGAUACCCUUGUAGUC
Molecule: ribosomal RNA, 464 nt
Filed under: uncultured Acholeplasmataceae bacterium
Lineage: Bacteria; Bacillati; Mycoplasmatota; Mollicutes; Acholeplasmatales; Acholeplasmataceae
Description: bacterial SSU rRNA
Rfam family: Bacterial small subunit ribosomal RNA
Source: RNAcentral